AUUGAACGCUGGCGGCAGGCCUAACACAUGCAAGUCGAACGAGUGGCGGACGGGUGAGUAAUGUCUGGGAAACUGCCUGAUGGAGGGGGAUAACUACUGGAAACGGUAGCUAAUACCGCAUACCAUCGGAUGUGCCCAGUUGGGAUUAGUUAGUAGGUGGGGUAAAGGCUCACCUAGGCGACGAUCCCUAGCUGGUCUGAGAGGAUGACGAGCAACACUGGAAUGUAGACCCGGUCCAAGCUCGUACGUGGGGCAGCAGUAGGGAAUAUUGCACAAUGGGGGCAAGCCGUCUGCAGCCAUGCCGCGUGUAUGAAGAAGGCUUUCGGGUUGUAAAGUACUUUCAGCGGGGAGGCGUUACCCGCAGAAGAAGCACCGGCUAACUCCGUGCCAGCAGCCGCGGUAAUAC
RNAcentral lists this ribosomal RNA (406 nucleotides) under uncultured bacterium. RNAcentral's name for it is "partial 16S ribosomal RNA". It matches the Rfam family "Bacterial small subunit ribosomal RNA", at positions 30 to 526 of the family's 1533-position model. The record is from RNAcentral.